GUACCGCAAACCGACACAGGUAGUCAAGAUGAGAAUUCUAAGGUGAGCGAGCGAACUCUCGUUAAGGAACUCGGCAAAAUGACCCCGUAACUUCGGGAGAAGGGGUGCUCUUUAGGGUUAACGCCCAGAAGAGCCGCAGUGAAUAGGCCCAAGCGACUGUUUAUCAAAAACACAGGUCUCUGCUAAACCGUAAGGUGAUGUAUAGGGGCUGACGCCUGCCCGGUGCUGGAAGGUUAAGAGGAGUGGUUAGCUUCUGCGAAGCUACGAAUCGAAGCCCCAGUAAACGGCGGCCGUAACUAUAACGGUCCUAAGGUAGCGAAAUUCCUUGUCGGGUAAGUUCCGACCCGCACGAAAGGCGUAACGAUUUGGGCACUGUCUCAACGA
This 384-nucleotide ribosomal RNA is filed under the name Staphylococcus aureus. Its description in RNAcentral is "partial 23S ribosomal RNA". It matches the Rfam family "Bacterial large subunit ribosomal RNA", at positions 1644 to 2027 of the family's 2925-position model. Lineage: Bacteria; Bacillati; Bacillota; Bacilli; Caryophanales; Staphylococcaceae. The record is from RNAcentral.